UACAGAGGUCUCAAGCGUUGUUCGGAUUCAUUGUGCGUAAAGGGUGCGUAGGUGGCGUGGUAAGUCGGGUGUGAAAUUUCGGAGCUUAACUCCGAAACUGCAUUCGAUACUGCCGUGCUUGAGGACUGGAGAGGAGACUGGAAUUCAUGGUGUAGCAGUGAAAUGCGUAGAGAUCAUGAGGAAGACCAGUGGCGAAGGCGGGUCUCUGGACAGUUCCUGACACUGAGGCACGAAGGCCAGGGGAGCAAACGGG
This 253-nucleotide ribosomal RNA is filed under the name uncultured bacterium. RNAcentral describes it as "partial 16S ribosomal RNA". It matches the Rfam family "Bacterial small subunit ribosomal RNA", at positions 524 to 776 of the family's 1533-position model. The record is from RNAcentral.